Molecule: non-coding RNA, 114 nt
Filed under: Allofournierella massiliensis
Lineage: Bacteria; Bacillati; Bacillota; Clostridia; Eubacteriales; Oscillospiraceae
Description: FMN riboswitch (RFN element)
Rfam family: FMN riboswitch aptamer (RFN element)
About the family: The RFN element is a highly conserved domain that is found frequently in the 5'-untranslated regions of prokaryotic mRNAs that encode for flavin mononucleotide (FMN) biosynthesis and transport proteins.
Source: RNAcentral
GUUUCAGGGCGGGGUGAAAUUCCCCACCGGCGGUAUAGCCCGCGACCAUCCGGUGUUUCCGGGUGCUGAUCUGGUGCAAUUCCAGAGCCGACGGUAUAGUCCGGAUGAAAGAAA